UUGACCUCGGAUCAGGUAGGAAUACCCGCUGAACUUAAGCAUAUCAAUAAGUCGGAAGAA
Molecule: ribosomal RNA, 60 nt
Filed under: Diaporthe sp. LNZH009
Lineage: Eukaryota; Fungi; Ascomycota; Sordariomycetes; Diaporthales; Diaporthaceae
Description: partial 28S ribosomal RNA
Source: RNAcentral